CUAUGUUAAAAUCAUACACACUUGUAAAGACUGUUGUACGGUCACAUUGGAUUUGAAAGCAACAUCCUUUCUUCCAUACAUCCACGCUACCUGAAAGACGACAGCUUCCUGAAUCCAACGAUACCAGAUAUGUGCACAUCGGACCUCCGCUUCAAAAGAUACGGCCAGACUGUUGUACGGUCACAUUGGAUUUGAAAGCAACAUCCUUUCUUCCAUACAUCCACGCUGCCUGAAAGACGACAGCUUCCUGAAUCCAACGAUACCAGUUAUGUGCACAUCGGACCUCCGCUUCAAAAGAUACGGCCAGACUGUUGUACGGUCACAUUGGAUUUGAAAGCAACAUCCUUUCUUCCAUACAUCCACGCUACCUGAAAGACGACAGCUUCCUGAAUCCAAUGAUACCAGAUAUGUGCACAUCGGACCUCCGCUUCAAAAGAUACGGC
Molecule: long non-coding RNA, 443 nt
Organism: Cyprinus carpio carpio
Lineage: Eukaryota; Metazoa; Chordata; Actinopteri; Cypriniformes; Cyprinidae
Source: Ensembl